This 20-nucleotide microRNA is filed under the name Chlamydomonas reinhardtii. Its description in RNAcentral is "cre-miR1144a.2". Lineage: Eukaryota; Viridiplantae; Chlorophyta; Chlorophyceae; Chlamydomonadales; Chlamydomonadaceae. The record is from miRBase by way of RNAcentral.
UGGAACCGGGCACGCAGGAG